RNAcentral lists this ribosomal RNA (449 nucleotides) under uncultured bacterium. RNAcentral describes it as "partial 16S ribosomal RNA". It matches the Rfam family "Bacterial small subunit ribosomal RNA", at positions 29 to 523 of the family's 1533-position model. The record is from RNAcentral.
AACGAACGCUGGCAGCAUGCCUAACACAUGCAAGUCGAACGAACCCUUCGGGGUUAGUGGCGCACGGGUGCGUAACGCGUGGGAAUCUGCCCUUUGGUUCGGAAUAACAGUUAGAAAUGACUGUUAAUACCGGAUGAUGACUGCGGUCCAAAGAUUUAUCGCCAGAGGAUGAGCCCGCGUAGGAGUAGGUAGUUGGUGGGGUAAAGGCCUACCAAGCCGACGAUCCUUAGCUGGUCUGAGAGGAUGAUCAGCCACACUGGGACUGAGACACGGCCCAGACUCCUACGGGAGGCAGCAGUGGGGAAUAUUGGACAAUGGGCGCAAGCCUGAUCCAGCAAUGCCGCGUGAGUGAUGAAGGCCUUCGGGUCGUAAAGCUCUUUUACCCGGGAUGAUAAUGACAGUACCGGGAGAAUAAGCUCCGGCUAACUCCGUGCCAGCAGCCGCGGUAA